GACGAACGCUGGCGGCGUGCUUAACACAUGCAAGUCGAACGAUGACGACCGAGCUUGCUCGGUCUGAUUAGUGGCGAACGGGUGAGUAACACGUGAGCAACCUGCCCUUCACUCUGGGAUAACCCCGGGAAAUCGGGGCUAAUACCGGAUAUGAGCUCCUGUCGCAUGGCGGGUGUUGGAAAGUUUUUCGGUGAAGGAUGGGCUCGCGGCCUAUCAGUUUGUUGGUGAGGUAGUGGCUCACCAAGGCGAUGACGGGUAGCCGGCCUGAGAGGGCGACCGGCCACACUGGGACUGAGACACGGCCCAGACGCCUACGGGAGGCAGCAGUGGGGAAUAUUGCACAAUGGGCGAAAGCCUGAUGCAGCGACGCCGCGUGAGGGAUGACGGCCUUCGGGUUGUAAACCUCUUUCAGCAGGGAAGAAGCGAAAGUGACGGUACCUGCAGAAGAAGCGCCGGCUAACUACGUG
Molecule: ribosomal RNA, 467 nt
Filed under: uncultured bacterium
Lineage: Bacteria
Description: partial 16S ribosomal RNA
Rfam family: Bacterial small subunit ribosomal RNA
Source: RNAcentral